UACGUAGGGGGCAAGCGUUGUCCGGAAUCAUUGGGCGUAAAGCGCGUGUAGGCGGCCCGAUAAGUCCGCUGUGAAAGUCCAGGGCUCAACCCUGGGAUGCCGGUGGAUACUGUCGGGCUCGAGUCCGGAAGAGGCGAGUGGAAUUCCUGGUGUAGCGGUGAAAUGCGCAGAUAUCAGGAGGAACACCAAUGGCGAAGGCAGCUCACUGGGACGGUAUUGACGCUGAGACGCGAAAGCGUGGGGAGCAAACAGG
This 253-nucleotide ribosomal RNA is filed under the name uncultured bacterium. RNAcentral's name for it is "partial 16S ribosomal RNA". It matches the Rfam family "Bacterial small subunit ribosomal RNA", at positions 524 to 776 of the family's 1533-position model. The record is from RNAcentral.